CAAUUUGCAGGAGAAACAGUGACAGAGAUGAAAGGUCAUCUGUUGAAGUAUCCGGUUGAGGUUGAUCGAAUGGGGAAGGUCGGGCCGCUUCCGGGAUGCUCGAGUUUCCCAGAUGUUGGUGGCAAUAUUUUGGGAUCGUACAUACCUUUGCAGAAGAACCUUAACAUAUGUGGUUCCUCCAUAGCCAUUCAGGAAAAUGUUAAUGCUUUUGGCUCCCUUCUUCCCAAACAAGAGAACCUCACCAUUUGAACUGCUACACCAGUUGGAGGAUUUCUUGGUUUCUUCACUUGUUUUCUUGUUGUUGUUGUAAAGGGCGUAGUAAGUUUGUAAAGAAAGAAUUUUGUUUUAGGGGAAAAGAACUGUUAUCUGGCAGGAGUUAUUAUAGUCGUAAUUUUGAGAUUGACCGCUCUGACUUUCUCUAGCUUUCUUAUUGUGUUACUUAUGUCGACUUACACUUUGGUAAGGAACACUACCACCUUACACACGAAUAACCUGAAACCAUUAACAUGAAAAAAACUUCAAAAUAUUAACUGUUACUAUGCAUACAGAAGGAGCUUUCAUAUUUACCGACAACUUUAAACAAAGCCUUGAACAACAAAUUGAAACACAAUCUUACAGUAGGGAGGUAUACAAACAAUAAUACAGAGUCUCAACUGAACAACACAGUUUAGGAAUAUAUCAUCAUAUAUUCUUUCUAAAGACAACGAAAAACCCCAUGCCAUCCAAGUUUUAGCUACUAACUAAGUUGGAUACAUAAUCAUGUUUUAUAUUUUAUGCAGCAGGGGGGCAUGCAUUAGCUCUGGAUAGCGACUAGCUUCCAUCAUUCGCUGCAUGCUGUUGAUCCUCUUAGGCUGAGGCACCAUUCCGGAACUCACAGCAGCGGUAUAAGCCGAGAAAUGAACUCCCAAUGCAGCUCUACCAGAAGGGUCUAUAUUGCCUGACCAUGAAGCAUCCCACUCGACUGCUUUGGAUGUGCUGCAAGCCACGCUUGCUCCUCCAGGAACAGUCAGACUGGCCGGGUUCUGUAUAAAAACGUAGAUUGAACAUAGUUUAAUGAGAAGGGAACAUUCAGAUUAGCUUGAGAAAAGGUUGGGAGGGCUGUUCCACUAACUAAGCUCACCUAUGGGAAAAACCUCUCAAAGAUCAUUCUGUAGUAGUAAGCUUCUUUGGUGUUUGGGGUGUUGUGAGGGAAGAUAUAUAUGUACAACAUUUCGCAUCUUUUAUCGGUUACCUGAGCACGAAUAAAUCAGGAUCAGCAUAUAUCUAUUUCAACCAACACAUUGAAAUAGGGAGAUUCGGUGUUUUUUAUCUUGCAUACAUGUCGACAAGCAUGAGCUUUGAGGCCAUCAAUCCAGCUGUAGCCAACCAUCACUAAAUUGCUCUUUCUGUCUGUACAAAAUAUGCUGCAGAAAGGAAGCCACAUGGGAUCAACUUUAAGACAUCUGAAAAUUCUUCUGAAUCAAUGCUAAGCAGUCAGGAGAUGGUAUUGAAAGAAAUCAACCUAAGGUAGAUACGGUUGUUCUUCGUCAUCAAAUGUUUUCCUAAGAACCCAUUUCUCUAUCCUCCCUUCUUCAGGCUUAAUCUAAAAAGAAACAUAAAAAAGGCUUAAGUAUGACAAAUAACAAUAACAGUUUACACUUUACAGGAACACACUGAAACUUAACAUACCAUCUUCCAUUGAGGGUCAAUGGCCAUUGCAACGCUGAUGAACUCCUUGUCCACGAAGGGAACUCGAGCUUCCAACCCCCAAGCAGAAGUAGCCUUGUUGGCUCUCAAGCAAUCAUACUGAUGUAAAGCUUUGAUCUUGCGACACGUCUCACAAUGGAACUCUUCCUUGUUAGGUGCCUUGUGGAAGUAGAGAUACCCACCAAACACCUCAUUGGAGCCUUCUCCAGAGAGAACCAUCUUCACACCCAAUGACUUGAUCUUCCGGGACAUCGUAGGUGUUCUCGCUGUGAUGGUGGUAACAUCAUGCGUCUCGAUGUGGUAAAUCACAUCCUCGAUCGCAUCGAUCCCAUCCUGGACCGUGAAGUUGAACUCGUGGUGGACGGUCCCCAGGUAGUCCGCAACCUCUUUUGCAGCUUUUAAGUCAGGGGAUCUCUCAAGGCCAACAUAGAAGGAACGAAGCUGGGAACCCUAGUGCUUCGCAGCUCGAGUUCCGGCUAAGUGCCUAGCUGUGAUGGAAGCCACUAAGGAGGAAUCCAGCCUACCGGAGAGCAGAACACUAAAAGGGACAUCAGUAAUCAAUCUCUUGGUCACAGCCUGCCAUCAAAAGAGCCAAAAACUUAAGUACUAGUAUGAAUACGUACGAGUACACACUUAGUUUGCGCAAGUGCAUAUUAAUAUGUAAGAGUACAUAAUGAUACUCAAAUACAUAAAAAUAAAUAUGAUUUUAGCAAUAGAAUCCUGGCAGGACACUAGGAGGUGAGGUCGAAACAGUUAAGGUGGUGGCAAGAGAUCCCGACGACAAGAGAUUCUCACAAAUAACAGAUGAGUUUCGACAGUAACGACGAAUGUCAGAACAACAUACAUUUGGUGGUACGAUUUUUCGAUGACAAAUGAGGAGUUCCAACAACACAAACAUCAAUAACAACAAAACUCAGGUAACUAUUAAGUAUUUUGUGUCCGGGAAGGCGAAGUGAGAUUUACAAUUUUACCCACAAAGAUCAAAGUAUAAGAAGCUAUGGCCCAACCAUCAACUGUAGCUAACAGUGUUUUUCAGUUCAUCUCCGACAUAAGAACAGGGCUUUUCAGUUCACCUUCAGCAUAAAAACAAUAAUCUCCCUUUUCAUUCAGUUCCAUCUUAACAGAUCGAGUUGCCUUUUUUGCUUCUCAUCACCCCAGUAGUUUAUUUCCUUCAUCCCUGCAAACUCCUUACUACCUCUCUCUCUCUCUUUCCCUUUUCCCCUUUCUCUGUGUGAUUCUUCGAGUCAAACUCGAAAUUGGUAAAUCGAGAUUCUACACCUUCACCUUCCCUUGGUGAUGAAGAGCAGGCAAGUAAUUGGUCUGUAGCUUGAUUUAGGUUGCUCGAGCUAUCAUCGUUGAAGAUAAAUCUCCUCUGGCGCUGGUCUCUAGCUUGAUUUGGGUUUCUCGAGUGAUCAUUGCUGAUUCGCUGCCGACGCGAGUCGGGAUAGCCCAGAAAUUAAAAAGAAAACCAACUACCAGUGGGAGGUAAGAAUGUAAAGCUCCCAUUUUUGUGCCGCUCUCGAUUCUUCAGUGCCGAUUCCCCUCACCCUUUCAUUCCCUGCGUUCAAGUCGCCCGUUGGUUUUGCAAGGUUCUUCAUCGGGUUUGGACAUUUGUCAUCGACGUGGUAACAAUCCUCUCUAUCUCCAUCUGCAUGUAUGAAAAAUAUGCUCUAAAGAUUCUUCGUAAAAUCUUUCCAGAAAGCUUUCAACAGAUGCUCAGUUAACAAGUGGUUGUGAUAAAUGUGACUACAUCGACUCUUUUCAUGGACUCUGAUAUUGACAGCAAGCAAUUGGUAAAGACUAAAACUUAUGGAGAUCUCCUGUUGAGUGAUCGGCCAUUUCUGUGGCUAAUAAAGUAUUGACUAUUAGGAAAGUAAAUCACUGAAGCAGGUAUUACUGAUUAAGUAUUAUUCAAGAAGUAUCAACGAGUAAAGCAAGUCCAAUUUUCUCAAUCUAUUCUUUGUGUUUUGGGUUUUAAGAUGUUUGGUCCAAAUUAGGUUGAUUUGGAUUUAUGUGUUUUGAAUUGGCCAAAUGGAAUCUGGUAUUAGGACAAAGGUCUUUACAGCCCUAGUGAAGACUAUUCAGCAACAAUAUAUGCUGAAGAUCAGGUAAGAAAUGUUUUUAUACUGAGCUUUGUUUGUUAAUGUGGAGAGUGAAGAUGAAUAGGUUUAUAUUUGAAUGUGUGGACUUUGAGAUGGAAGAUCGACGAAGGAGUUUAUUUCAAUUCGUAGUCAUUUUCAUUAAUGCCUUGUCUAUUAAGAAGCACCAACAGAUGUUAAUUGAAAUCAAGAUGAUUGUUUCUGUUGUUGUGGAGAUGGUGGUAUGUUCCAUGAAAGAUAAAAGAUACUAUUGAAGUGUGCUGAUUCGUAAAUAAGCACAAUACUGACAUUGUAGCUCUUGAAACAUGGGCUGAUGGUAAGUCUUAUGAAUUGGCUGCUAAAGUGAAAGUUCGAAUGCUUAGGCUCUUUCGAUUCUAUACCAGCAUGCAGGAGGUAAUAUUUGCUUUUAUAUUGGAUGUGAUUGUUUGCUUGGAGAUAUUGAGAUGAACUCAGAUUUUUAAUCAGGUUAAGGCCUCGCAGUUUCAGCUGAUGCACCUUACCCACUUACAAACCUUGCAUGAAUCAAAUGGGGUUGCGUCUGUGGCCUGAUCAUUUCAUGGAACUUCCCUCUUCUCAUGUUUCCCUGGAAUCUAGGUUGGUUCAACUUUAGCAACUGGGUAGACGAUUGUUCUCAAAUAUGCUCAAUGUAUAACAGUUAUACUAUGUAUGCCAGAUUUUAUAAUUACAUACAACUAUCAAAAGAUGGGUGCACAAUGUGUAAUAAAAAUCAGAUGUAAACUUAAUUAAAUCCAAUGACUGAAAUCUAUUUAAUAGAUGAAUCAAGUAACCUUCUUCCUCAAACCCUCCUAAUCAAAUUUUGUUGAAUUCAUUAAAGCCGCCAUGAGAGGUUACCAAUUCCAUAGCUGCUAAUUAUAUACUGAAGCAACUUCCACCAAUCUUCGACUGAUUUGUUUUAUCUCUCCACUUGCCAAGCUGGUCCUAACUGAUUUGUUUUAUCUCCCCACUUGCCAAGCUGGUCCUAAAUCAUGUCCUUUCCUGAUUCUUUAAUUUCAUCUUCUUCGUUGACUCUUCCAUACCUGUUGUUUCACAAGAUAACAUUGAUACUUUCCAGCAAAGCCACCCAACAAGAACACAGUCAAUGAGUCAACCCUUUUCUUCCCUUAUUAAAUCCCUGUUUCCAACCUUCAAUCUCUCCUCCCACAUUUAAAAAAACCCACCACACCCCAUUUUGGACCUCAUUGACACCACGUAAUGGGUCACCAUACUCAAGUAAUCGAUCACUGGAGCUCAUUCGGAGGGUCAGUCCAUGGCCAAGGUCAAGAACCAAUCCCAUUCAACAAUCAAGGUAAGGACUUUAAAGUCCUUCUCUUACACGGAUAUCUGAACAUCUGCGUAAAGCAGGCAGUAAACCUUCCAAACAUGGACGCCCUCACCAAAUCCCUCGGCCAAAUGUUCUCCAAGCUCACCCAAAAAAUCGAAAGCAAAAUCAACACAUCCGACCCUUAUGUUACGGUGUCCGUAUCCGGAGCAGUCGUCGCUAGAACAUUCGUGAUAAAAAACAACGAAAACCCGGCCUGGAUGCAGCAUUUCUCCAACGUGCCAGUGGCGCAUUACGCCUCCGAGAUUCACUUCAUUGUGAAGGACCAUGACUUGGUUGGCUCCGAGGUUAUAGGGGCCGUUGGGGUACCAGUUGAAGAUCUGGUUUUGAGGAAGAAAAUUGAAGGGACUUUUCCUGUAUUGGGUGCUAAUGGCAGCCAAUGUAGAAAUGGAGCUGGAUUGAGCUUGUCAAUUGAGUACAAUCCAAUUGAUGGAAUGGAGAUUGACAAUGUUGGUGGUGUUCCAGGGACUUACUUCCCUCUUCGAAAAGGCGGUAAGGUAACACUUUACCAAGAUGCACAUGUGGAGGAAAUUGGUCAAAUUGGGGGGUUCGAGCAUCGGAGCUGCUGGAGUGAUGUGUUUCAGGCUAUUAGCGAGGCUCGUAGGCUGGUUUACAUUACGGGUUGGUCUGUGAAUUGCAAUGUUAGAUUGGUAAGGAAUGGAGGGAGGAUGGAUUGUACAUUGGGGGAGCUUCUCAAGGCUAAGUCUCAAGAAGGUGUUAGGGUGUUGCUUCUUGUGUGGGAUGAUCCUACUUCUAGCAGGAUUUUAAGCCACAAAUAUGUAAGAAACUUGAACAACCCUUUUUUAUUCCAGUUUUGAUGUUGGUUGUGCUUGUGUAUUUGAUUGCAAGUGCAGAGUUAUUAAUUAAUAUUUAAUAGAGCUGCUUCGACUCGGAAAGCUCUUUCAAAAAUUGGCUCGAUUUUAAAUGAGUCAAGUUUGAGGUACGUUAUGCAUGACUGGACAGGCUGAAUUAAAUGCUCUAAUAUGUAGCUCGCCAUUCAUUGAGUUCUAUCUCAGUUAGGUGGUUUGAGAGUGAGCGAAUUUACAGCUAGACUAUAUUACUCAUUAACUGAUAAGCUCAAUAUUGUUUGUGAUUUGUCCCAAAUAGUAAAUUUUAUGUCUUAUGAUUAUUUGAUGAUAUAUAUCUGCUUGAUGAAUAAAUUGUUAGCAUAUUUUGACAUAAAAUACGUAUUAGAUUUUCUAUCUAGCUAGUGUGUCAUUACACAAUAUUUUUGGUGUGUUACAUUAUUGUCAAAAUAUGUGGUUUAGAUUUAAAUAAUUACCAAAUAUGGUUAAAUGAGUAAAUUAAAAGCUCAAACGAUUUUACAAUAAGUUGAGGUUCAAUCUUUUCAAGCAUUUUAAGUCUACAAAGCUAGAGUUGACUUGUAGCUUUUCAAGAGGCGUUAGCAAUAAUUGUUAGUGAGUCUAGCUCAAUCUUAAUGCGAGUUCGCCUAAAAACUUAAUGGGCUGCCCUUGAUCCGGAGUUCUCAACUCGACUUGGCUCGUACAAAUCCCUGAUUCCAACGAUAUCGAUUUGUACGGAAUAUAGGAUGGGAUGAUGAGCACAGGAGAUGAAGAAACAAGGCGCUACUUCAAGAACUCUUCAGUCCAAGUGUGACUAUGUCCGAGGUCUCCUGACAAAGGACACAGUUUCAUCAAGAAACAGGCUUGAUAUUGUUGAUCUUGUUGUGUUCUGUUUUUGUGUCAUGCCAACUAAGCUCUUAUAUCUUGUGCUUUGUUUCAGGAAGUUCGAACAAUCUAUACCCACCAUCAGAAAACAGUGAUAGCAGACGCUGAUGCAGGGCGAAACAGAAGGAAGAUCAUAGCUUUUGUUGGAGGCCUCGACUUGUGCAAUGGCCGUUACGAUACUCAAGAGCACUCCCUCUUUAGGACAUCACACACAGUCCACAAGGACGACUUCCACAACCCAACUUUGGCAGCGCCAACAACUGCUGGAAGCUGUCCGAGGCAGCCAUGGCACGACUUGCACAGCAAGAUCGAAGGUCCAGCUGCGUACGAUGUCCUGACGAAUUUUGAAGAGCGUUGGUCUAAAGCUUCAAAGCCUCGAGGAAUUCACAAGCUGAGAUCAUCAUCACAAGAUGAUGCAUUGCUGAAGCUGGAAAGAAUUCCUGAAAUCCUUGGCUUCUCAGAGGCUGCUGCUACUAGCCUGGCUGAAAAUGAUCCUGAAGCUUGGCAUGUUCAGGUCUUUCGUUCGAUUGAUUCGACCUCUGUGAAAGGAUUUCCUGAUGAUCCUGGACAUUGCAACAAGCAAGGUAAAGUCUUUGUUUUGUUUGUUCAUCAUUUAUGUUUGCUGAUGGAUUGGAAGUGACGUAAUUUUUCUGUUUACAGAACCUGCAGUGUGGGAAGAACAUCCUGAUAGACAUGAGCAUCCAUGCAGCCUAUGUGAAUGCAAUUCGAUCCGCGCAGCAUUUUAUCUACAUUGAGAAUCAGUACUUCCUUGGAUCAUCAUACGCCUGGGAUUCCUACAAUAACUUGGGCGCCAACAACUUAAUACCGAUGGAAAUCGCGCUCAAGAUCGCUAGCAAAAUCAGGGCAAACGAAAGGUUUGCAGCGUACAUUCUCGUCCCCAUGUGGCCAGAAGGUGUUCCUACUGGCGCAGCCACACAACGGAUACUGUUCUGGCAGGUGAACAGUCAACAAUGCCAUCGGAUAGCUGAAUUGUUUCUAACAUUGGUGCCUGACUGUUUUGUCUUUUCCCCAAUUUGUGUUGCAGCAAAAGACAAUGCAAAUGAUGUAUGAAACAAUCUACAAGGUAUUGGUGGAAGUUGGACUUGACAAGACGUACGAGCCACAAGAUUACCUCAACUUCUUCUGCCUCGGAAACCGGGAGGAGGCAUCGACAUUAGAUCGAGAAGUUGCAGCUUAUCCAAGAACAGCAACACCAAAUACUCCUCAGGUAAUAUACAUGAAAAAGAUUUUUUCGUCUCACAAUGAAACAAAACUGAAUGUCUCACUACAGUAAAAUAGUAUAAAAUAGUGAGAUCGAAGACCUUUAAUGUGUUAUAAUUAAAAAGGAUUCUACUACAUUAUAUUUUAUUAUAAUGAGACACCCAAUUUCGUCUCACGUCGAGACAAGAAACCUUGCUUUACUUGCAUCAACAAGUUCUAAUCUUUUUCCAACUUUUAGGCCGCUUAUUUCGAAAAUAAUUUCAAGCAUUGAGUCAGAAGAACAGAAGGUUCAUGAUUUAUGUACACUCGAAAGGGAUGAUAGUGGACGACCAAUACGUAAUAAUAGGGUCUGCAAACAUAAACCAAAGAUCAAUGGAAGGCACCCGCGACAGCGAGAUCGCAAUGGGUGCAUUUCAGCCCCGGCACACCUUGGGAAGUUCCAACCAGCAUCGUCCACACGGCCAGGUGUAUGGGUACAGAAACUCACUGUGGGCCGAACACAUAGGAAGUGUCGAAGGAAGUUUCGAAAUGCCGGAGAGUGUGGAAUGUGUAAGAAGGGUGAGGUGCAUUGGAGAAGAGAAUUGGAAGCAAUUUGCAGGAGAAACAGUGACAGAGAUGAAAGGUCAUCUGCUGAAGUAUCCGGUUGAGGUUGAUCGAAUGGGGAAGGUCGGGCCGCUUCCGGGAUGCUCGAGUUUCCCAGAUGUUGGUGGCAAUAUUUUGGGAUCGUUCAUACCUUUGCAGAAGAACCUUAACAUAUGUGGUUCCUCCAUACCCAUUCAGGAAAUUGUUAAUGCGUUUGGCUCCCAUCUUCCCAAACAAGAGAACCUCACCAUUUGAACUGCUACACCAGUUGGAGGAUUUCUUGGUUUCUUCACUUGUUUUCUUGUUGUUUUUGUAAAGGGCGUAGUAAGUUUGUAAAGAAAGAACUUUGUUUUAGGGGAAAAGAACUGUUAUCUGGCAGGAGUUAUAAUAGUCGUAAUUUCGAGAUUGACCGUUCUGACUUUCUCUAGCUUUCUUAUUGUGUUACUUAGGCCAACUUACA
This 9075-nucleotide long non-coding RNA is filed under the name Linum usitatissimum (flax). RNAcentral describes it as "long non-coding RNA (LUSI_LNC008095)". Lineage: Eukaryota; Viridiplantae; Streptophyta; Magnoliopsida; Malpighiales; Linaceae. The record is from RNAcentral.